GAUGAACGCUGGCGGCGUGCCUAAUACAUGCAAGUCGAGCGAACAGACGAGGAGCUUGCUCCUCUGACGUUAGCGGCGGACGGGUGAGUAACACGUGGAUAACCUACCUAUAAGACUGGGAUAACUUCGGGAAACCGGAGCUAAUACCGGAUAAUAUAUUGAACCGCAUGGUUCAAUAGUGAAAGACGGUUUUGCUGUCACUUAUAGAUGGAUCCGCGCCGCAUUAGCUAGUUGGUAAGGUAACGGCUUACCAAGGCGACGAUGCGUAGCCGACCUGAGAGGGUGAUCGGCCACACUGGAACUGAGACACGGUCCAGACUCCUACGGGAGGCAGCAGUAGGGAAUCUUCCGCAAUGGGCGAAAGCCUGACGGAGCAACGCCGCGUGAGUGAUGAAGGUCUUCGGAUCGGAAAACUCUGUUAUUAGGGAAGAACAAAUGUGUAAGUAACUAUGCACGUCUUGACGGUACCUAAUCAGAAAGCCACGGCUAACUACGUGC
RNAcentral lists this ribosomal RNA (498 nucleotides) under uncultured bacterium. RNAcentral's name for it is "partial 16S ribosomal RNA". It matches the Rfam family "Bacterial small subunit ribosomal RNA", at positions 28 to 508 of the family's 1533-position model. The record is from RNAcentral.